GACCAGGUAGCUCAGUUGGUUAGAGUGUUGUCUUCAUAAGCCAAGGUUGAGGGUUUGAUCCCUAGUCA
This 68-nucleotide transfer RNA is filed under the name Myotis brandtii (Brandt's bat). It matches the Rfam family "tRNA". Rfam says of the family: Transfer RNA (tRNA) molecules are approximately 80 nucleotides in length. Their secondary structure includes four short double-helical elements and three loops (D, anti-codon, and T loops). Lineage: Eukaryota; Metazoa; Chordata; Mammalia; Chiroptera; Vespertilionidae. The record is from Rfam by way of RNAcentral.